Molecule: ribosomal RNA, 253 nt
Filed under: uncultured bacterium
Lineage: Bacteria
Description: partial 16S ribosomal RNA
Rfam family: Bacterial small subunit ribosomal RNA
Source: RNAcentral
UACGAAGGGGGCUAGCGUUGCUCGGAAUCACUGGGCGUAAAGCGCACGUAGGCGGAUUGUUAAGUCAGGGGUGAAAUCCUGGAGCUCAACUCCAGAACUGCCUUUGAUACUGGCGAUCUCGAGUCCGGGAGAGGUGAGUGGAAUUCCCAGUGUAGAGGUGAAAUUCGUAGAUAUUGGGAAGAACACCGGUGGCGAAGGCGGCUCACUGGCUCGUAUCUGACGCUCAGGCGCGACAGCGUGGGGAUCAAACAGG